AUGGGCUCCGACGGCGCCAUCACGCACCGCAGCGUCGACGUCAACGGCGUGCGCCUCCACGUCGCGGAGGCCGGCCCGGCGGGCGCGCCCACGGCGCUGCUGCUGCACGGGUUCCCGGAGGUGUGGUACACCUGGCGCCACCAGAUGCGCGCGCUGGCCGCGGCGGGCUACCGCGCCGUCGCGCCCGACAUGCGUGGCUACGGCGGCUCCGACGCGCCCUCUGGCGGACCGGACCAGUACACGGCGCUGCACGUCGUCGGCGACCUCGUCGCGCUCAUCGAUUCGCUCGGCGAGAAGCAGGUCUUCGUGGUGGCGCACGACUGGGGCGCCAUGAUCGCGUGGAGCCUGUGCCUGUUCCGGCCGGACAGGGUGAAGGCGCUCGUCGCCCUCAGCGUCCCCUUCACCCCGCGGAGCCCGGCGAGGAAGCCCGUCGACGGCUUGAAGGCUCUGUACGGGGACGAGUACUACAUCUGCCGUAUCCAGGAACCUGGAGCAAUUGAAGCAGAAUUCGCACGGCUCGGCACAGAGCUGGUGCUAAGAAAGUUUUUCACUUAUCGAACUCCUGGCCCUUUGUUCAUUCCCAAGAGCGGGUGGGGCUCACCAGAUGAUGAGGUGCCCUUGCCGAGCUGGAUCACGGAGGAGGAUAUCAAGUACUACGCGAGUCAAUUUGACAAGUCUGGUUUCACCGGGGGAUUGAACUACUACCGUGCCUUGAACAAGACAUUGGAGCUAACGUCGCCAUGGACCGGAGCUGAGAUAAAGGUACCAACCAAGUUUAUAGUUGGUGAUGUGGACUUGUCAUACCAUGUUGCAGGCGCACAUGAUUUUAUUAACAAAGGUGGCCUCAAGAAGUUUGUUCCAUUACUGGACGAUGUGGUGGUAAUGAAAGAUGUCGGGCAUUUCAUAAAUGAAGAAAAACCAGAAGAAAUUAGUGCCCAUAUAAUCAGUUUCUUAAAGAAAUUUGACUGA
Molecule: ribosomal RNA, 969 nt
Filed under: Triticum aestivum (bread wheat)
Lineage: Eukaryota; Viridiplantae; Streptophyta; Magnoliopsida; Poales; Poaceae
Description: partial small subunit ribosomal RNA
Source: RNAcentral